RNAcentral lists this ribosomal RNA (244 nucleotides) under uncultured bacterium. RNAcentral describes it as "partial 16S ribosomal RNA". It matches the Rfam family "Bacterial small subunit ribosomal RNA", at positions 524 to 765 of the family's 1533-position model. The record is from RNAcentral.
UACGGAAGGGUGCAAGCGUUACUCGGAAUUACUGGGCGUAAAGCGUGCGUAGGUGGUUUGUUAAGUCUGAUGUGAAAGCCCUGGCUCAACCUGGGAAUUGCAUUGGAUACUGGCAGGCUAGAGUGCGGUAGGAGGAUGGCGGAAUUCCCGGGUGUAGCAGUGAAAUGCGUAGAGAUCGGGAGGAACAUCUGUGGCGAAGGCGGCCAUCUGGACCAGCACUGACACUGAGCACGGAAAGCGUGGG